This 74-nucleotide transfer RNA is filed under the name Candidatus Moraniibacteriota bacterium. RNAcentral's name for it is "Candidatus Moranbacteria bacterium tRNA-Gly". It matches the Rfam family "tRNA". From Rfam's summary of the family: Transfer RNA (tRNA) molecules are approximately 80 nucleotides in length. Their secondary structure includes four short double-helical elements and three loops (D, anti-codon, and T loops). Further hydrogen bonds mediate the characteristic L-shaped molecular structure. tRNAs have two regions of fundamental functional importance: the anti-codon, which is responsible for specific mRNA codon recognition, and the 3' end, to which the tRNAs corresponding amino acid is attached (by aminoacyl-tRNA synthetases). tRNAs cope with the degeneracy of the genetic code in two manners: having more than one tRNA (with a specific anti-codon) for a particular amino acid; and 'wobble' base-pairing, i.e. permitting non-standard base-pairing at the 3rd anti-codon position. Lineage: Bacteria; Candidatus Moraniibacteriota. The record is from RNAcentral.
GCGGGUAUAGUAUAUCGGUAAUACGCCACCUUGCCAAGGUGGAGCGACGGGUCCGACUCCCGUUACCCGCUCAA